Molecule: ribosomal RNA, 503 nt
Filed under: uncultured bacterium
Lineage: Bacteria
Description: partial 16S ribosomal RNA
Rfam family: Bacterial small subunit ribosomal RNA
Source: RNAcentral
GAUGAACGCUAGCGGCAGGCCUAACACAUGCAAGUCGAGGGGUAGCAGGAUUAAGCUUGCUUAAUUGCUGACGACCGGCGCACGGGUGCGUAACGCGUAUGCAACCUACCUUAUACUGGGGUAUAGCCCGGAGAAAUUCGGAUUAAUCCCCCAUAGUACUAAUGAAUCGCAUGGUUUAUUAGUUAAAGCAUUGCGGUAUAAGAUGGGCAUGCGUCCUAUUAGCUAGAUGGUGAGGUAACGGCUCACCAUGGCUACGAUAGGUAGGGGGCCUGAGAGGGUGGUCCCCCACACGGGUACUGAGACACGGACCAGAAGCCUACGGGAGGCAGCAGUGAGGAAUAUUGGUCAAUGGGCGCAAGCCUGAACCAGCCAUGCCGCGUGCAGGAAGAAUGCCCUAUGGGUUGUAAACUGCUUUUAUUUGGGAAUAAACCUCUUUACGUGUAGAGAGCUGAAGGUACCAAAUGAAUAAGCACCGGCUAACUCCGUGCCAGCCGCCGCAGUAA